CAGAGGGUGCGAGCGUUAAUCGGAAUUACUGGGCGUAAAGCGCACGUAGGUGGUUUUGUAAGUCGGAUGUGAAAUCCCCGGGCUCAACCCGGGAACUGCAUUCGAGACUGCAUUACUCGAGUAUGGGAGAGGGAAGCGGAAUUUCCGGUGUAGCGGUGAAAUGCGUAGAUAUCGGAAGGAACAUCAGUGGCGAAAGCGGCUUCCUGGCCCAAUACUGACACUCAUGUGCGAAAGCGUGGGGAGCAAACAGGAUUAGAUACCCUGGUAGUCCACGCCAUAAACGAUGAGAACUAGAUGUCGAGAGGGUUAGCCUCACGGUGUCGCAGCUAACGCGUUAAGUUCUCCGCCUGGGGAGUACGGCCGCAAGGUUG
This 371-nucleotide ribosomal RNA is filed under the name uncultured organism. RNAcentral's name for it is "bacterial SSU rRNA". It matches the Rfam family "Bacterial small subunit ribosomal RNA", at positions 526 to 896 of the family's 1533-position model. The record is from RNAcentral.